This 917-nucleotide ribosomal RNA is filed under the name Pseudoalteromonas sp. LC310. RNAcentral's name for it is "bacterial SSU rRNA". It matches the Rfam family "Bacterial small subunit ribosomal RNA", at positions 303 to 1214 of the family's 1533-position model. Lineage: Bacteria; Pseudomonadati; Pseudomonadota; Gammaproteobacteria; Alteromonadales; Pseudoalteromonadaceae. The record is from RNAcentral.
AUCAGCCACACUGGAACUGAGACACGGUCCAGACUCCUACGGGAGGCAGCAGUGGGGAAUAUUGCACAAUGGGGGCAAGCCCGAUGCAGCCAUGCCCCGUGUGUGAAGAAGGGCCUCUGGUUGUGAARCACUUUCAGUUGUGAGGAAAAGGUAGUAGAUAAUACCCGGGCUAGCUGUGACGAUAGCMACARAAAACGCACCGSUAAACCUCGUGCCAGCACCGCGGUAAUACGGAGGGUGCGAGCGUUAAUCGGAAUUACUGGGCGUAAAGCGUACGCAGGCGGUUUGUUAAGCGAGAUGUGAAAGCCCCGGGCUCAACCUGGGAACUGCAUUUCGAACUGGCAAACUAGAGUGUGAUAGAGGGUGGUAGAAUUUCAGGUGUAGCGGUGAAAUGCGUAGAGAUCUGAAGGAAUACCGAUGGCGAAGGCAGCCACYGGGUCAACACUGACGCUCAUGUACGAAAGCGUGGGGAGCAAACGGGAKUAGAUACCCCGGUAGUCCACGCCGUAAACGAUGUCUACUAGGAGUUCGGUUUUUCGGAACUGUCUUCCACAGCUAACGCAUUAAGUAGACCGCCUGGGGAGUACGGCCGCAAGGUUAAAACUCAAAUGAAUUGACGGGGGCCCGCACAAGCGGUGGAGCAUGUGGUUUAAUUCGAUGCAACGCGAAGAACCUUACCUACACUUGACAUCCAGAGAACUUACUAGAGAUAGUUUGGUGCCUUCGGGAACUCUGAGACAGGUGCUGCAUGGCUGUCGUCAGCUCGUGUUGUGAGAUGUUGGGUUAAGUCCCGCAACGAGCGCAACCCCUAUCCUUAGUUGCCAGCGAUUCGGUCGGGAACUCUAAGGAGACUGCCGGUGAUAAACCGGAGGAAGGUGGGGACGACGUCAAGUCAUCAUGGCCCUUACGUGUAGGGC